This 1501-nucleotide ribosomal RNA is filed under the name Bacillus sp. K-05. Its description in RNAcentral is "16S ribosomal RNA". It matches the Rfam family "Bacterial small subunit ribosomal RNA". The record is from RNAcentral. Lineage: Bacteria; Bacillati; Bacillota; Bacilli; Caryophanales; Bacillaceae.
GAGUUUGAUCCCUGGCUCAGGACGAACGCUGGCGGCGUGCCUAAUACAUGCAAGUCGAGCGGACAGAUGGGAGCUUGCUCCCUGAUGUUAGCGGCGGACGGGUGAGUAACACGUGGGUAACCUGCCUGUAAGACUGGGAUAACUCCGGGAAACCGGGGCUAAUACCGGAUGGUUGUUUGAACCGCAUGGUUCAGACAUAAAAGGUGGCUUCGGCUACCACUUACAAAAGACCCGGGGCCUUAGUAGUUGUGAGGUAACGGUCCCCCAGGCACGAUGGUAACCACCUGAGAGGUGAUCGCCCCCCUGGGAAUGAGACCCGGCCCAGAUUCCUACGGGAGGCAGCAGUAGGGGAUUUUCCGCCAUGGACGAAAGUCUGACGGAGCAACGCCGCGUGAGUGAUGAAGGUUUUCGGAUCGUAAAGCUCUGUUGUUAGGGAAGAACAAGUGCCGUUCAAAUAGGGCGGCACCUUGACGGUACCUAACCAGAAAGCCACGGCUAACUACGUGCCAGCAGCCGCGGUAAUACGUAGGUGGCAAGCGUUGUCCGGAAUUAUUGGGCGUAAAGGGCUCGCAGGCGGUUUCUUAAGUCUGAUGUGAAAGCCCCCGGCUCAACCGGGGAGGGUCAUUGGAAACUGGGGAACUUGAGUGCAGAAGAGGAGAGUGGAAUUCCACGUGUAGCGGUGAAAUGCGUAGAGAUGUGGAGGAACACCAGUGGCGAAGGCGACUCUCUGGUCUGUAACUGACGCUGAGGAGCGAAAGCGUGGGGAGCGAACAGGAUUAGAUACCCUGGUAGUCCACGCCGUAAACGAUGAGUGCUAAGUGUUAGGGGGUUUCCGCCCCUUAGUGCUGCAGCUAACGCAUUAAGCACUCCGCCUGGGGAGUACGGUCGCAAGACUGAAACUCAAAGGAAUUGACGGGGGCCCGCACAAGCGGUGGAGCAUGUGGUUUAAUUCGAAGCAACGCGAAGAACCUUACCAGGUCUUGACAUCCUCUGACAAUCCUAGAGAUAGGACGUCCCCUUCGGGGGCAGAGUGACAGGUGGUGCAUGGUUGUAGUCAGCUCGGUCGGAGAUGUUGUUAGCCGUCCCGCAACGAGCGCAACCCUUGAUCUUAGUUGCCAGCAUUCAGUUGGGCACUCUAAGGUGACUGCCGGUGACAAACCGGAGGAAGGUGGGGAUGACGUCAAAUCAUCAUGCCCCUUAUGACCUGGGCUACACACGUGCUACAAUGGACAGAACAAAGGGCAGCGAAACCGCGAGGUUAAGCCAAUCCCACAAAUCUGUUCUCAGUUCGGAUCGCAGUCUGCAACUCGACUGCGUGAAGCUGGAAUCGCUAGAAUCGCGGAUCAGCAUGCCGCGGAUUGAUACGUUCCCGGGCCUUGUACACACCGCCCGUCACACCACGAGAGUUUGUAACACCCGAAGUCGGUGAGGUAACCUUUAUGGAGCCAGCCGCCGAAGGUGGGACAGAUGAUUGGGGUGAAGUCGUAACAAGGUAGCCGUA